RNAcentral lists this ribosomal RNA (429 nucleotides) under Pseudomonadota bacterium. RNAcentral describes it as "Proteobacteria bacterium partial 16S ribosomal RNA". It matches the Rfam family "Bacterial small subunit ribosomal RNA", at positions 355 to 776 of the family's 1533-position model. The record is from RNAcentral. Lineage: Bacteria; Pseudomonadati; Pseudomonadota.
UGGGGAAUAUUGGACAAUGGGCGAAAGCCUGAUCCAGCCAUGCCGCGUGUGUGAAGAAGGUCUUAGGAUUGUAAAGCACUUUAAGUUGGGAGGAAGGGCAGUAAGCGAAUACCUUGCUGUUUUGACGUUACCGACAGAAUAAGCACCGGCUAACUCUGUGCCAGCAGCCGCGGUAAUACAGAGGGUGCAAGCGUUAAUCGGAAUUACUGGGCGUAAAGCGCGCGUAGGUGGUUCGUUAAGUUGAAUGUGAAAGCCCCGGGCUCAACCUGGGAACUGCAUCCAAAACUGGCGAGCUAGAGUAGGGCAGAGGGUGGUGGAAUUUCCUGUGUAGCGGUGAAAUGCGUAGAUAUAGGAAGGAACACCAGUGGCGAAGGCGACCACCUGGGCUCAUACUGACACUGAGGUGCGAAAGCGUGGGGAGCAAACAGG